GUCGAACGCUGGCGGCGUGCCUAAUACAUGCAAGUCGAACGCAGUGGGGACGGGUGAGUAACACGUGGGUAACCUCCCAUCAGAGGGGAUAAAACUUGGCAACAGGUGCUUAACCGAUACUGCUGGAUGGACCCGCGGUGCCUUAGCUAGUCGGUGAGGUAACGGCUCACCAAGGCCACGGUGCAUAGCCGACCUGAGAGGGUGAUCGGCAACACUGGUACUGAGACACGGCCCAGACUCCGACGGGAGGCAGCAGUAGGGAAUCUUCGGCAAUGGACGAAAGUCUGACCGAGCAACGCCGCGGGAGUGAAGAAGGUUUUCGGAUCGUAAAACUCUGUUGGUAGAGAAGCGGUAUCUAACCAGAAAGCCACGGCUAACUACGUGCCAGCCGCCGCGGUAAUAC
This 403-nucleotide ribosomal RNA is filed under the name uncultured bacterium. RNAcentral describes it as "partial 16S ribosomal RNA". It matches the Rfam family "Bacterial small subunit ribosomal RNA", at positions 28 to 526 of the family's 1533-position model. The record is from RNAcentral.